GGUCAAGCGAAUAAGUGCAUGUGGUGGAUGCCUUGGCGAUUACAGGCGAUGAAGGACGUAGUAGCCUGCGAUAAGCCCCGGGGAGCUGGCAAACAAGCUUUGAUCCGGGGAUUUCCGAAUGGGGAAACCCAACCCGCAAGGGUUACUCCCACCUGAAUACAUAGGGUGGGUAGAGCGAACCUGCUGAACUGAAACAUCUAAGUAGGCAGAGGAACAGAAAUCAACCGAGAUUCC
Molecule: ribosomal RNA, 234 nt
Filed under: Betaproteobacteria bacterium
Lineage: Bacteria; Pseudomonadati; Pseudomonadota; Betaproteobacteria
Description: partial 23S ribosomal RNA
Rfam family: Bacterial large subunit ribosomal RNA
Source: RNAcentral